GGGAGAAGGUUCGAUCCGUUCAAGAUCACGCGAAGUUAAGCUGGGCAGGGCUGCCGACGUUGUUGAAGGGCCGCGUCCCCGGCACCAGCUCCUUGUGUAUUCUUGUGUGAUCCUGCUAGACAAGAGGGCCUGAGUGGAGACAACUCAGGCGACGGAAUUAGUCUUUGUUUGUUAGAGUUCAGCAAAUUCAGUUGUAGCAAGGCACUGUGCCUUAUAGAGAGAUGGGGCUUCAAUUGCUCAACACCGUAAGUUUAGCCACCACUGCCCUUUUCUUUCAAUUCUCAGACUAAAUGCUUGUUUGUUAGAGUUCAGCAAAUUCAGUUGUAGCAAGGCACUGUGCCUUAUGGAGAGAUGGGGCUUCAGUUGUCCAACGCCCAUGAACCUAUUUUUGGAAGCCUAAGUAUGUUCAUUCCAAGUUUCAUCUACAGACUGGUACUCUGGUUUCGCCAUUGUCUGGUUGCCCCACACAUUAAUCUGAGUCAAGUUCCUUCUCGAGAAGGACGCCAAUGUCAUCCUUGACAGCCACCUGAAUCACAGAUCUUAAAUACACCGAUACUUGUGUUUAUGACUCUAGAUGAAGUGCUUGAAGCUAAGACCCAU
Molecule: long non-coding RNA, 600 nt
Organism: Panicum virgatum (switchgrass)
Lineage: Eukaryota; Viridiplantae; Streptophyta; Magnoliopsida; Poales; Poaceae
Exons: 4
Source: RefSeq, a predicted model, not a curated record